GAUGAACGCUGGCGGCGUGCCUAAUACAUGCAAGUCGAGCGAACAGACGAGGAGCUUGCUCCUCUGACGUUAGCGGCGGACGGGUGAGUAACACGUGGAUAACCUACCUAUAAGACUGGGAUAACUUCGGGAAACCGGAGCUAAUACCGGAUAAUAUAUUGAACCGCAUGGUUCAAUAGUGAAAGACGGUUUUGCUGUCACUUAUAGAUGGAUCCGCGCCGCAUUAGCUAGUUGGUAAGGUAACAGCUUACCAAGGCGACGAUGCGUUGCCGACGUGUGAGGGGGAUCGGCCACACUGGAAGUGGGACACGGUCCAGACUCCUGAGGGAGGCAGCAGUAGGGAAUCUUACGCAAUGGGCGAAAGCCUGACGGAGCAACGCCGCGUGAGUGAUGAAGGUCUUCGGAUCGUAAAACUCUGUUAUUAGGGAAGAACAAAUGUGUAAGUAACUAUGCACGUCUUGACGGUACCUAAUCAGAAAGCCACGGCUAACUACGUG
RNAcentral lists this ribosomal RNA (497 nucleotides) under uncultured bacterium. RNAcentral's name for it is "partial 16S ribosomal RNA". It matches the Rfam family "Bacterial small subunit ribosomal RNA", at positions 28 to 507 of the family's 1533-position model. The record is from RNAcentral.